UGGGGAAUAUUGGACAAUGGGGGCAACCCUGAUCCAGCAAUGCCGCGUGUGUGAAGAAGGUCUUCGGAUUGUAAAGCACUUUCGACGGGGACGAUGAUGACGGUACCCGUAGAAGAAGCCCCGGCUAACUUCGUGCCAGCAGCCGCGGUAAUACGAAGGGGGGCUAGCGUUGCUCGGAAUGACUGGGCGUAAAGGGCGUGUAGGCGGUUUACACAGUCAGAUGUGAAAUCCCCCGGGCUUAACCUGGGAGCUGCAUUUGAUACGUGUAGACUAGAGUGUGAGAGAGGGGUUUGUGGA
Molecule: ribosomal RNA, 297 nt
Filed under: uncultured bacterium
Lineage: Bacteria
Description: partial 16S ribosomal RNA
Rfam family: Bacterial small subunit ribosomal RNA
Source: RNAcentral